Molecule: ribosomal RNA, 364 nt
Filed under: uncultured bacterium
Lineage: Bacteria
Description: bacterial SSU rRNA
Rfam family: Bacterial small subunit ribosomal RNA
Source: RNAcentral
GGUAGCCGGCCUGAGAGGGCGACCGGCCACACUGGGACUGAGACACGGCCCAGACUCCUACGGGAGGCAGCAGUGGGGAAUAUUGCGCAAUGGGCGAAAGCCUGACGCAGCRACGCCGCGUGAGGGAUGACGGCCUUCGGGUUGUAAACCUCUUUCAGCAGGGACGAAGCGAAAGUGACUGUACCUGCAGAAGAAGCGCCGGCNAACUACGUGCCAGCAGCCGCGGUAAUACGUAGGGCGCAAGCGUUGUCCGGAUUUAUUGGGCGUAAAGAGUUCGUAGGCGGUYUGUCGCGUCGGAAGUGAAAACCCGGAGCUCAACUCCGGGCCUGCUUUCGAUACGGGCAGACUUGAGUGUUGCAGGGGA